This is an RNA transcript of Cebus imitator (Panamanian white-faced capuchin), 2871 nucleotides long. It is a transcript of the gene named 26S proteasome regulatory subunit 4-like, with no coding region annotated. The record is from RefSeq and is a predicted model, not a curated record. Lineage: Eukaryota; Metazoa; Chordata; Mammalia; Primates; Cebidae. The transcript has a single exon.
UAAAACCCAAAUGCGUUAAAGGACAGGAGAAUUGACAAAAAUGUGGGAAGUUUCAGGUAUAAGAAGAGGGUAAGGAGGCAGUGUGCAUGCCCCGUCAAAAAGCAACCUUACAUGAAAAUAAUACAACUUUGUUUCUUCUUAACAGAAUACAUCAGUGCCAGGCAGAAUGCAACAAGCAACUGCUAGUUUCUAAUCCUUGGACUAGACAAUAGAAGUAAACUAGAAUGGUAAAUACAGGAAUUAUUAAAGAGAACAUGGCCAUAAAUAUCCAGGAAAUAUAUACACUCAAAAAAGGAAUUUAUGUUUGAUAAGUACAUUAUUCAUAAUUAUUUAUACAUUUAACCCUAAACCAAAGCUUGUAUCACAUGAAAAGUGCAAAAUUAGCUGCAGAUGAAUAUCCCUGACCCAAUUAUACAAGACACUUUGGUAAAUCUGUGUAGACUAAAGGCUCUAAGAAGGUAGUUAAAUUUCAGAGGGGUAAAGGGGGAGAGAAUUUCAGAAAACGGAUUAUAAAGGAAUGAAAUAUUUGGAAGAGAUUGGUAAAAAGGAGAUACUUGAGAAGGUAAAUCUAAGUCACUAUAGAAAGAAUGUUGAAGAGAUGUGUCUUUACCAGCUGGGCCCUCUGUAGAAGAGUUGAAAAUAACCCACAGCAAUAGUGAUGUGACGGCUGCCUCAUCUGAGAAGAGAGAUCAACUGCAGCCACCUCAAAGAGGUAAAACGUAGAUGUGUAAUAGGAGUGAGUGAGGAGAGAAGAAUGCAUAACUGGUAUCAUAAGAGGAUAUCCAAAGGUUUGUAAGAAACCAAGGACAAGAGCAGAAAACAGUAGGUCACGCUAUAAGGAACCAAGUCUUCUCUUCCUUGCAGAUAGUCUAUCUGCUUCUCUCUGGGCAUCAUCUCAGAUGCUGACUGCUUUUUCUGGAUGUUCCCUCUCCGGGCCCAGACGCUGUCUCAGAAUUUUUUAGACCAGCUCCCAUGGGUUACUGGCAAUAACCACCAUGGCCCCUCAGACUUCACCCACCACAUCUAUGCAGGUGCUUGAGAAUACACACUCCUUGACCUAAGAAAGCAAACUCUGUAGACAUUUAAGGGACUUAGCAAUUCAAAGGAGGGAAGCCAGAAUGGAGAGAUGGGCAACUUUUACCAAAGCCAAAUUAAUGGAAGAAACAAUAAAAAAAAUGUAGUAAGAAUGUUUAAGGGGAUUCACAUGGAGGAUAACUACAAAAAUUGGAGGAGAAGCUGCCUAUGAGAAACAUGAAAUCUGGGCUUAGGCUCCAAAAGGAAGUAAAAUGAAUAGCUAGUAUUAAAAACAAAGUAGAGCUUGAGUGGCCAAGGCAAGAUGGGUCAAAGUCAGAGUGGUGGUCAUGGUCCUGGAGGUGGCAAGAAGGAUGACAAGGACAAGAAAAAGAAAUACGAACCUCCUGUACCAACUAGAGUGUGGAAAAAGAAGAAGAAAACAAAGGGACCAAAUGCUGCCAGCAAAUUGCCACUGGUGACACCUCACACUCAGUGCUGGUUAAAAUUACUGAAGUUAGAAUUAAAGACUACCUUCUCAUGGAGGAAGAAUUCAUUAGAAAUCAGGAACAAAUGAAACCACUAGAAGAAAAACAAGAGGAGGAAAGAUCGAUCAAAAGUGGAUGAUCUGAGGGGCACCCUGGUGUCAGCAGGAACCUUGGAAGAGAUCAUCGAUGACAGUCAUGCCAUCCUGUCUAAAUCUGUGGACUCAGAACACUACAUCAGCAUUCUGUCAUUUGUAGACAAGGAUCUGCUGGAACCUGGCUGCUAAGUCCUGCCCAACCACAAGGUGCAUGCCGUGAUAGGGGUGCUGAUGGAUGACACGGAUCCCCUGGUCACAGUGAUGAAGGUGGAAAAGGCCCCCCAGGAGACAUAUGCCGAUAUUGGGGGCUUAGACAACCAAAUUCAGGAAAUUAAGGAAUCUGUGGAGCUUCCUCUUACCCGCCCUGAAUAUUAUGAAGAGAUGGGUAUAAAGCCUCCUAAGGGGGUCAUUCUUUACGGUCCACCUGGCACAGGUAAAACCUUGUUAGCCAAAGCAGUAGCAAACCAAACCUCAGCCACUUUCUUGAGUGGUUGGCUCUGAACUUAUUCAGAAGUACCUAGUUGACAGGCCCAAACUCGUACAGGAACUGUUUCGAGUUGCUGAAGAACAUGCACCGUCCAUCGUGUUUACUGAUGAAAUUGACGCCAUUGGGACAAAAAGAUAUGACUCAAAUUCUGGUGGUGAGAAAUUCAGCAAACAAUGUUGGAACUUCUGAACCAGUUGGAUGGAUUUGAUUCUAGGGCAGAUGUGAAAGUUAUCAUGCCCACAAACCGAAUAGAAACUUUGGAUCCAGAACUUUUCAGACCAGGCCGCAAUGACAGGAAGAUCAAGUUCCCCCUGCCUGAUGAAAAGACUAAGAAGCGCAUCUUUCAGAAUCACACAAGCAGGAUGACGCUGGCCGAUGAUGUAACCCUAGAUGACUUGAUCAUGGCUAAAGACGACCUCUCUGGUGCUGACAUGAAGGCAAUCUGUACAGAAGCUGGUCUGAUGGUCUUAACAGAAUGUAGAAUGAAAGUAACAAAUGAAGACUUCGAAAAAUCUAAACAAAAUGUUCUUUAUGAGAAACAGGAAGGAACCCCUGAGGGGCUGUAUCUCUAGUGAACCACAGCUGCCAUCAGGAAAAUGGGAGAUUUCUCCAUCUCUGAAAGGGAUGAGGUUGGUGGAGUUGCCCAGAGGAAUCCCUGUUCCCAUUGCUUUUUAUUAGCAAAACAUCCUGUGUCUUUUGGAGUACGAUGUGUAAGUGCCCAUUGGGUGGCCUUCAUCUGUCGGUCACUGUGCAGCAGUCUGCUUCUCAAUAAAGUGUGCUCUUUCACACA